CUUCAGCCGGACUUGUCAUACGAGGAACAACCAGUGCAGAUACUUGAUAGAAGAGAAAAAGUCUUGAGAAGCAAGACAGUGGCACUGUUGAAAGUACUGUGGAGGAACAGUAAAGUAGAAGAGGCAACCUGGGAACUCGAGACGGAUAUGCAGCAGAAAUAUCCGGAGUUGUUCAGGUAAAUUUCGGGACGAAAUUUCUAUAAGGAGGGGGUAAUUGUAAUACCCGGAAUUAAGAAAUGGAUUAGCAAAACCCUAACUAGAUAAUUAUGUAUAAUGGAGGAAUUAUAUUAUUAUAUAAUUCAAUAUAUGUGAUUUAUAUGAAUUUUAAUAUAUUAAAGACCCCGUUGGUGAGCCAGGGGCAUUUUGGUAAUUAUGACCCGAGAAGGGUAAAUUGUUGAGAUUAAAUUAAUUACGUGCUUAAUAGAACUAUAUUAUUAUAUAGUAUACCUGUGUUGUCUUUUCAGGUGUGUUCUGACAGGUUGGCGCGGUAUAGUCACAACCGGGUAUUUCGGGCCGAACUGGGUUCGGGCCCGAAAUGUAAAUUGGAUUAAUUUAUUUGGCAUUAUAAUUUAUGGGUGAUAAUCUGAAUUUUUAUUUGAAAAUUAUUGAGUAUGAAUUUACUAGAAUACCCUUGUGUAUGUGUGUGCAUGCUUUAUAGCCCUAAGGGCAAAAUGGUCAUUUUGACCUUUAUGAUAUUUUUGAUAAAAGGGUUGAAUUUUAAAGAAAAGAAAAAGGAAAUUGAAUAUUGUUUGCUUCACUCUUUGCUUCAGCCGACCCCUUUUUCUCUCUAUCCCUAAAUCUAUUUUUUUUUCCAAACUUUGAUUUUCUUGUGGGAAAUUAGCUUUAUUUGGUGCUACCUUUGGAGCUUGAUACUUUGAAGAUUGUUGAGCUUAGCUUGGAUUUGAAUUGAGGAAAGGGUAAGGCAUUAGCUGAUCAGCCAUGAGUUUCAGGAGCAGGGCGAAGAAUGUACAUGUUCAUGCCACUUCAGACCAAGCGGGUUAUGGGUCUAACAGUGUUGACUUUUGUAUUCUGUUUUGCCGCUUAGGUCGGCUAGUAAGAAAGAACUUGUAAUAAGUUUGUAAAUAUUUUUGGGAUCCCAAAUAUUUUGAAAAGUUUAAAUAUAUUACAAGUUUAUUUACA
Long non-coding RNA from Cannabis sativa, 1140 nucleotides. RefSeq lists it as uncharacterized. NCBI's taxonomy places the organism in Eukaryota, Viridiplantae, Streptophyta, Magnoliopsida, Rosales, Cannabaceae. The transcript is spliced from 2 exons. The record is from RefSeq and is a predicted model, not a curated record.